RNAcentral lists this ribosomal RNA (761 nucleotides) under uncultured bacterium. RNAcentral describes it as "bacterial SSU rRNA". It matches the Rfam family "Bacterial small subunit ribosomal RNA", at positions 28 to 822 of the family's 1533-position model. The record is from RNAcentral.
AAUCAACGCUGGCGGCGCGCCUAACACAUGCAAGUCGAACGAGAAAGUGGAGCAAUCCAUAAGUAAAGUGGCGUACGGGUGAGUAACACGUGGAUUAUCUGCCCUUUUGUGGGGAAUACCGCUGGGAAACCGGCGACAAUACCGCAUAAGCCCGAGAGGGGAAAGCAGCAAUGCGCAGAAGGAGGAGUCCGCGGUCGAUUAGUUAGUUGGCGGGGUAAAGGCCCACCAAGACUGUGAUCGAUAGCCGGCCUGAGAGGGCACACGGCCACACUGGCACUGAAACACGGGCCAGACUCCUACGGGAGGCAGCAGUGGGGAAUCUUGCACAAUGGGGGAAACCCUGAUGCAGCGACGCCGCGUGAGCGAUGAAGCCCCUCGGGGUGUAAAGCUCUUUCGGCAGGGAAGAUUAUGACGGUACCUGCAAAAACAGCUGCGGCUAACUACGUGCCAGCAGCCGCGGUAAUACGUAGGCAGCAAGCGUUGUUCGGAGUUACUGGGCGUAAAGGGUGCGUAGGCGGCUUUUUAAGUUUGGUGUGAAACCUCCCGGCUCAACUGGGAGGGUGCGCCGAAUACUGAGAGGCUAGAGUGUGGGAGAGGAAAGUGGAAUUCCUGGUGUAGCGGUGAAAUGCGUAGAUAUCAGAGGAACACCGGUGGUGUAAACGGCUUUCUGGACCAUAACUGACGCUGAGGCACGAAAGCGUGGGUAGCAAACAGGAUUAGAUACCCUGGUAGUCCACGCCCUAAACGAUGCAUAUUUGGUG